Molecule: ribosomal RNA, 459 nt
Filed under: uncultured bacterium
Lineage: Bacteria
Description: partial 16S ribosomal RNA
Rfam family: Bacterial small subunit ribosomal RNA
Source: RNAcentral
CCUACGGGAGGCAGCAGUGGGGAAUAUUGCGCAAUGGGCGAGAGCCUGAACCAGCCAAGUCGCGUGAGGGAGUACUGCCCUAUGGGUUGUAAACCUCUUUUGUCGGGGAGCAAAAGCCGGACGUGUCCCGCUGUGAGAUUACCCGUAGAAACAGCAUCAGCUAACUCCGUGCCAGCAGCCGCGGUAAUACGGAGGCUGCGAGCGUUAUCCGUAUUCACUGGGUGUAAAGGGAGCGUAGGCGGCCGUGCAAGCCAGGGGUGAAAGCCCGGGGCCCAACCGCGGGACUGCCUGUGGAACUGGAGGGCUGGAGUGCGGGAGGGGGAGGUAGAAUUCCAGGUGUAGCGGUGAAAUGCGUAGAGAUCAGGAGGAACACCGGCGGCGAAGGCGGCCUGCUGGACGGAGACUGACGUUGAGGCUCGAAAGCGUGGGGAGCGAACAGGAUUAGAUACCCCUGUAGUC